Molecule: small nuclear RNA, 332 nt
Filed under: Chinchilla lanigera (long-tailed chinchilla)
Lineage: Eukaryota; Metazoa; Chordata; Mammalia; Rodentia; Chinchillidae
Description: 7SK RNA (ENSCLAG00000021806.1)
Rfam family: 7SK RNA
About the family: 7SK was discovered as an abundant small nuclear RNA in the mid-70s but a possible function has only recently been suggested.
Source: Rfam by way of RNAcentral
GGAUGUGAGAACGAUCUGGCUGUGACCUCAUUGAUCACCAGGGUUGCUUCGGCUGAUCCGGAUGGCUAGUAGGGUGUCCGCUCCUCCCCUCCCCGCGCCAUGUGCGUCCCUCCUGAAGCUGUGUGCUCAGUAGGUAGAAGAGGAUGACCAUCCCCAAUAGAGAAGGACUGUUUCCUCCAUCAAGGGGAAACAACUAGCUCCAUAUGUGUGUAAAAGGUUUUAUUAAUAGGUUGAGCUGCUUUUAUAUUUCUGCAUAAAAACAAUAAAAUAGAAAAAAUAAACAAAAGUAAUAAAAAGUAAAAGUAGAAAGUAAGACUUGUGGGUUUCUCUCU